UGUCUGGAAGCCUGCGCCGCAGCCC
This 25-nucleotide non-coding RNA is filed under the name Rattus norvegicus (Norway rat). The record is from RNAcentral. Lineage: Eukaryota; Metazoa; Chordata; Mammalia; Rodentia; Muridae.